This 454-nucleotide ribosomal RNA is filed under the name Wagneriana roraima. RNAcentral describes it as "partial large subunit ribosomal RNA". It matches the Rfam family "Bacterial large subunit ribosomal RNA", at positions 1829 to 2606 of the family's 2925-position model. The record is from RNAcentral. Lineage: Eukaryota; Metazoa; Arthropoda; Arachnida; Araneae; Araneidae.
AUUUCUUACAGUUCUAUUUGUAAGUAACACCUGCUCAAUGAGAUUUAAAUAGCCGCAGAAUAUUAACUGUGCUAAGGUAGCAUAAUCAUUAGCCUYUUAAUUAGAGGCCCGUAUGAAUGGUGAAACAUUUCAUGAACUUUAUUAAAUAAUUUUGUUCAAGUUAAAUUAAGAAUAAAAAUGUUCUUGUAAAAAAAAUAGACGAUAAGACCCUUUUGAACUUUACUUUAGUUUAGCUGGGGCAGCUAAAAAAAAAUCAUCUUUUAUUUUUAUGUUACUUAAUUGACCCAAUAAAUUUGAUUUUAUGAGCAAGUUACCAUAGGGAUAACAGCGUAAUAUUUUUUUAAAGCUCUUAUUUAAAAAUAAGUUUGCGACCUCGAUGUUGAAUUARAGUUUCUUGAACGGUGCAAUAACUAUAAAAGUAGGUCUGUUCGACCUUUAAAACUCUACAUGAUCU